RNAcentral lists this ribosomal RNA (1383 nucleotides) under uncultured bacterium. Its description in RNAcentral is "partial 16S ribosomal RNA". It matches the Rfam family "Bacterial small subunit ribosomal RNA". The record is from RNAcentral.
AGAGUUUGAUCCUGGCUCAGGAUGAACUCUGGCGGCACGCCUAACACAUGCAAGUCGAACGGAGUUAAGAGGAGCUUGCUUUUCUUAACUUAGUGGCGGACGGGUGAGUAACACGUGAGCAACCUGCCUUUCAGAGAGGGAUAGCUUCUGGAAACGGAUGGUAAUACCUCAUAACAUAAUUUUACGGCAUCGUGGAAUUAUCAAAGAAUUAUCGCUGAAAGAUGGGCUCGCGUCUGAUUAGCUUGUUGGUGAGGUAACGGCCCACCAAGGCAACGAUCAGUAGCCGGACUGAGAGGUUGAACGGCCACAUUGGGACUGAGACACGGCCCAGACUCCUACGGGAGGCAGCAGUGGGGAAUAUUGCACAAUGGGCGCAAGCCUGAUGCAGCGAUGCCGCGUGAGGGAAGAAGGUUUUCGGAUUGUAAACCUCUGUCAACAGGGACGAAAAUGACGGUACCUGUGAAGGAAGCUCCGGCUAACUACGUGCCAGCAGCCGCGGUAAUACGUAGGGAGCAAGCGUUAUCCGGAAUUACUGGGUGUAAAGGGAGUGUAGGCGGGACUGUAAGUCAGAUGUGAAAUAUGCCGGCUCAACUGGCAGACUGCAUUUGAAACUGCGGUUCUUGAGUGAAGUAGAGGUAAGCGGAAUUCCUAGUGUAGCGGUGAAAUGCGUAGAUAUUAGGAGGAACAUCAGUGGCGAAGGCGGCUUACUGGGCUUUAACUGACGCUGAGGCUCGAAAGCGUGGGGAGCAAACAGGAUUAGAUACCCUGGUAGUCCACGCUGUAAACGAUGGACACUAGGUAUGGGUAUGGGAACAUAUCCGUGCCGAAGUUAACGCGCUAAGUGUCCCGCCUGGGGACUACGACCGCAAGGUUGAAACUCAAAGGAAUUGACGGGGGCCCGCACAAGCGGUGGAGCACGUGGUUUAAUUCGAUGCAAACCGAAGAACCUUACCUGGGUUUGACAUACAAGUGGUAGUGAAGAGAGAUUGGAACGACCUAGUUUACUAGGAGCUUGAACAGGUGCUGCAUGGCUGUCGUCAGCUCGUGUCGUGAGAUGUUGGGUUAAGUCCCGCAACGAGCGCAACCCCUAUUGUUGGUUGCUAACGAGUGAAGUCGAGCACUCCAGCGAGACUGCCGCCGACAAGGCGGAGGAAGGUGGGGACGACGUCAAGUCAUCAUGGCCUUUAUGCCCAGGGCGACACACGUGCUACAAUGGUCUGCACAGAGGGCAGCUUUGCCGCGAGGUAUGGCGAAUCCUAUAAAGCAGAUCUCAAUUCGGAUUGUAGUCUGCAACUCGACUACAUGAAGCCGGAAUCGCUAGUAAUCGCGAAUCAGCCAAGUCGCGGUGAAUACGUUCCCGGGCCUUGUACACACCGCCCGUCA